AAACCCUCUCAUUCUGAUUCUUUAUUAAGUUAAAGGGUUGGUGAUGGAUGUUGAGUGUUGCCGUAUUUGGCUCGCUUUAAAUACAUAAGUACUUUUGUUGACAAAUGAAAAUGGAUAUAUACUUGGUGUGAUAUUAUUANCAAAUCAUUGAGGAGUGUAGUUAACUCUGCAGCCAUUUUUGUAUAUGUUGAUGGAUAGCUUCCUAACCCCAUUUAAUUUAAUUA
This 224-nucleotide unclassified non-coding RNA is filed under the name Pucciniastrum circaeae. Its description in RNAcentral is "ITS2". Lineage: Eukaryota; Fungi; Basidiomycota; Pucciniomycetes; Pucciniales; Pucciniastraceae. The record is from RNAcentral.